UACGGAAGGCAGCAGUGGGGAAUAUUGCACAAUGGGCGCAAGCCUGAUGCAGCCAUGCCGCGUGUAUGAAGAAGGCCUUCGGGUUGUAAAGUACUUUCAGUCGUGAGGAAGGUGUUAAGGUUAAUAACCUUAGCAAUUGACGUUAGCGACAGAAGAAGCACCGGCUAACUCCGUGCCAGCAGCCGCGGUAAUACGGAGGGUGCGAGCGUUAAUCGGAAUUACUGGGCGUAAGGGCACGCAGGCGGUUAAUUAAGUUGGAUGUGAAAUCCCCGGGCUUAACCUGGGAAUGGCAUUCAAGACUGGUUAGCUAGAGUCUUGUAGAGGGGGUAGAAUUCCAUGUGUAGCGGUGAAAUGCGUAGAGAUGUGGAGGAAUACCGGGUGGCGAAGGCGGCCCCUGGGACAAAGACUGACGCUCAUGUGCGAAAGCGUGGGGAGCAAACGAGGAUUAGAUACC
This 454-nucleotide ribosomal RNA is filed under the name uncultured bacterium. RNAcentral's name for it is "bacterial SSU rRNA". It matches the Rfam family "Bacterial small subunit ribosomal RNA", at positions 340 to 786 of the family's 1533-position model. The record is from RNAcentral.